Molecule: ribosomal RNA, 506 nt
Filed under: Vibrio sp. Vpar155
Lineage: Bacteria; Pseudomonadati; Pseudomonadota; Gammaproteobacteria; Vibrionales; Vibrionaceae
Description: bacterial SSU rRNA
Rfam family: Bacterial small subunit ribosomal RNA
Source: RNAcentral
CGGGAGGCAGCAGUGGGGAAUAUUGCACAAUGGGCGCAAGCCUGAUGCAGCCAUGCCGCGUGUGUGAAGAAGGCCUUCGGGUUGUAAAGCACUUUCAGUCGUGAGGAAGGUGGUGUAGUUAAUAGCUGCAUUAUUUGACGUUAGCGACAGAAGAAGCACCGGCUAACUCCGUGCCAGCAGCCGCGGUAAUACGGAGGGUGCGAGCGUUAAUCGGAAUUACUGGGCGUAAAGCGCAUGCAGGUGGUUUGUUAAGUCAGAUGUGAAAGCCCGGGGCUCAACCUCGGAAUAGCAUUUGAAACUGGCAGACUAGAGUACUGUAGAGGGGGGUAGAAUUUCAGGUGUAGCGGUGAAAUGCGUAGAGAUCUGAAGGAAUACCGGUGGCGAAGGCGGCCCCCUGGACAGAUACUGACACUCAGAUGCGAAAGCGUGGGGAGCAAACAGGAUUAGAUACCCUGGUAGUCCACGCCGUAAACGAUGUCUACUUGGAGGUUGUGGCCUUGAGCCGU